GUGAGGAAUAUUGGACAAUGGGCACAAGCCUGAUCCAGCCAUGCCGCGUGCAGGAAGACGCAUCUAUGGUGUGUAAACUGCUUUUGUACGGGAAGAAACACUCCCUCGUGAGGGAGCUUGACGGUACCGUAAGAAUAAGGAUCGGCUAACUCCGUGCCAGCAGCCGCGGUAAUACGGAGGAUCCAAGCGUUAUCCGGAAUCAUUGGGUUUAAAGGGUCCGUAGGCGGUUUAAUAAGUCAGUGGUGAAAGCCCAUCGCUCAACGAUGGAACGGCCAUUGAUACUGUUAGACUUGAAUUACAAGGAAGUAACUAGAAUAUGUAGUGUAGCGGUGAAAUGCUUAGAUAUUACAUGGAAUACCAAUUGCGAAGGCAGGUUACUACUUGUGGAUUGACGCUGAUGGACGAAAGCGUGGGGAGCGAACAGGAUUAGAAACCCCGGUAGUCC
This 445-nucleotide ribosomal RNA is filed under the name uncultured bacterium. RNAcentral describes it as "partial 16S ribosomal RNA". It matches the Rfam family "Bacterial small subunit ribosomal RNA", at positions 354 to 796 of the family's 1533-position model. The record is from RNAcentral.